This is a non-coding RNA of Gasterosteus aculeatus aculeatus (three-spined stickleback), 953 nucleotides long. Lineage: Eukaryota; Metazoa; Chordata; Actinopteri; Perciformes; Gasterosteidae. The record is from RefSeq and is a predicted model, not a curated record.
AAAUUACUUUGCUCUAUUAAACUAAACUUUUUUAUUUAUGGGUUAGGGUUUAAUCGAAUAUUUUACUUUACUACAAUGUAAACUGACAGCAAGGCACCAAACUGAUUUUUUUUAUUUUAAUCAAAGCAUUUUUAUUAGAUUGAGUGAUUCGCGCAUGCGCAUUUUUUAAAAAGUUCUGGCGGAAACUUAUUUCCACCUCAAUCUUCCAUUGCAGAGGACGUUGUGAAAAAUAUCAGACCCCACGGCAUUUUGGUAACGUUAAGGAGAGCUGCCACAAGAUCCACUGUGUUCCUGCUGUGCAACCACCAGUUUGGAAGUCCCUCAUCUUAUUGUAUUAUCCAUGUAUGUAGAAAUUUAAACUACAGAAAACCAACAACCGUCAAACAAAAAAAGAAAAGAUGGCAAAGACGUUUGGAUACCGUAGACAAGAAAUAGUGCAUAAGCAGCCGAGCAUUGAAGACAUGUUGACAAGAUGGCCAGCACUUUUUCAGAUGGAAGAGAUUAAUGCUGAGUUCAUGCGGGUGACAACAGUACCCUGGAGACAAAGUUCUUAGCGCAGUUGGACAAGCACACGUCAAAACUGCUGGAGGUCAUCAGGAGCAAGGGAGGGCGUGUGAAAGAGCUGACCAAGGCAACUUUGCAGGUUUUAGAUGAGACCGUGGACAUCACAAUUAGAAGAGAGUGCAUCUUCAAAUCUUUGAUGAUCUACCUGGGUGAACCUGUUCAUCAUCUCAUUAAAGACUGCCAGGAAAAUGAAGCAGCCAUGGUAAUCGUCAGUGGAAACGAGGACAUUAAAAUCGUCAUUGACGGAACAGAGGUCCUCAGAGAGGUGCCCACAAUAGCAACGGCUGUUGCUAUGUUCUUCGGGCUCACCUAUGUUCUCAACAUAAAAUAUCCCAAAAAUCUGCACUAUACCCUUGAGUUUGUGCAAAAGGUCCUGAUGAAGCUUGGUG